This 1573-nucleotide long non-coding RNA is filed under the name Salmo salar (Atlantic salmon). RNAcentral's name for it is "lncRNA (ENSSSAG00000084336.1, ENSSSAG00000087286.1)". The record is from RNAcentral. Lineage: Eukaryota; Metazoa; Chordata; Actinopteri; Salmoniformes; Salmonidae.
GUGUGUGCAUGUGCAAAUAUGUGUUGCUGGCAGACAUGAUGCUGAAAUAUUAUAGCCAAGUCCAGGUUUGACCGCUGGCAUUUUGUUCUAACCAACUCAGUGGCCUUAGGGCAGACACUCUAACCACAAGGUUGGGAGUUCAAUCCCCUGCUGAAUCAUACCAAAGGGUGUAAAAAUGGAACCAGAUGCGUCUCUGUUUGGCACUCCGCAUUAAGGAGCUAGAUUGAAGGUAAGGCCAUGCGAUAGACUAGAGUCCUGUCCAGCAGGUCCAUCAAACUGCCUCAUGCUACAGAAACAAAAGAUCUGCUCCUCGGGCAAGGCUACUUACUAAAUGUGUUCUGAAUCCUGUAAAACAGUCCAAUAGCACCACCGACAGUCUUAGCACUCCUUUCCAUGAACAUCAAACUCCAGGUGCCAAGCAGGGCACAAACAUGUUCCGGUAUUAUCUGUAUAUUGCUUGUGUUACUGUCUGGUAGCUGUGGGUGGUGAGGUGAUUUGCAUUCAUAUCAGUGUUUAUAUCAGCCACAGUGUACAAUACCUUUCUGUAGAGACGCUCACUUACUCCUCAUCCAGGGAACUCCGUGCAUGACCAGAGAUCCAGCACAAGAGAUGGUACUAAUGAAGGCGAGGACAGGGACAGGCUUGUAUUCACUUGCGUGCCUUCUCAUGAUCACCAUGUGUGACACCCUGUGCUCAGACACUCACCAAUGCUUCAAUGCUACUGUUCAACAGCAGUGCUCAAAAGAUUUUAAAGUGCUACUGAACACCAGUUCUGGGUUCAAAGUGGUGGAGGGUGCUGACCUCAUCAUUGAGUGUGCCCAUAACCUGCCGGUGGAACCAAAAAUCCCGCUGGUGUUUGUCUGGCUGAUGGAUGGCGUCUCCCUGACGGGCGAGAACAGUAGCCAGCUCACCGUGAAGAAGGUCGGCAUAGCUACCUCUGGCAAGAAUAAAUACGCCUGCACCAUCCAGAGUCCCUGUGGCAACUUCACCUCAGAUCCAAAGGAGAUUGAAUUUGAAGACACGACGCUGUUGGUCAUAGUGAUCUGUGGUGUGUCUGCUGUGGUGCUGAUCCUGGCCAUGGGUAUAGGCAUGAAGAUCAUGCUGAAGAAGGAAUUUGCAAAGACCAAGAACAGGAGGCAGCAGAAUGCUCAGAACCUACAGAGAACUACCACAACAGAGUAGUGUUUCAUUUUCUGCAAAUUCCACCAAAUGUCCUUCAUGCGAAAAUGGCAAAAAUCUGACAUGAUUACACUGUGAAUGGAGAAAUAUGUAGCUAACAAUUUAUAGUUGUAUUUGCUGCAAUUUAAUCAACAUAACACUGACGUUGAGAUAAUUUUAUGAUGGAAGAGCCACAGAUGCAUAUGUUAAUCCUCUGGCAGUGACACACAGCUAGUUUGGAGAUUUGUCCCAAUAAAUAAUAUGCCAAAUUCAUGAUAUUUAAUAAUAAACAUUUACAUGUGGAUGAUGUUUCUAUUUAUAUAAUGAAUGGGGCCUAACAUAAGUGUCCAGAGGCUGCGUGUAGCCUACACAUGAUAGUCAGCAGUUACAUUUAUAGAAGCCAGGUAAGUAGGCU